UACGAAGGGUGCAAGCGUUACUCGGAAUUACUGGGCGUAAAGCGUGCGUAGGUGGUUUGUUAAGUCUGCUGUGAAAGCCCCGGGCUCAACCUGGGAAUGGCAGUGGAUACUGGCAAGCUAGAGUGCGGUAGAGGGUAGUGGAAUUCCCGGUGUAGCGGUGAAAUGCGUAGAUAUCAGGAGGAACACCUGCGGUGUAGACGGCUUACUGGACCAUCACUGACGCUGAGGCACGAAAGCGUGGGUAGCAAACAGG
RNAcentral lists this ribosomal RNA (253 nucleotides) under uncultured bacterium. Its description in RNAcentral is "partial 16S ribosomal RNA". It matches the Rfam family "Bacterial small subunit ribosomal RNA", at positions 524 to 776 of the family's 1533-position model. The record is from RNAcentral.